GAUGAAGAACGUAGUGAAAUGCGAUACGUAAUGUGAAUUGCAGAUUUCAGUGAAUCAUCGAAUCUUUGAACGCACAUUGCGCCCGCCAGUAUUCUGGCGGGCAUGCCUGUUCGAGCGUCAUUUCAACCAUCAAGCCUUCGCUUGUGUUGGGGCCCCGCGGCUGCCGCGGUCCCCUAAAUCCAGUGGCGGGCUCGUCGUCGUACCGAGCGCAGUAGACAUCCUCGCUCCGGGAACCCGACGGGUGCCGGCCGUGAAACCCCCCACAUCAAGGUUGACCUCGGAUCAGGUAGGAAUACCCGCUGAACUUAAGCAUAUCAAUAAGCGGAGG
This 328-nucleotide unclassified non-coding RNA is filed under the name soil metagenome. RNAcentral describes it as "partial contains 5.8S ribosomal RNA, internal transcribed spacer 2, and large subunit ribosomal RNA". The stretch from base 1 to 120 matches the Rfam family "5.8S ribosomal RNA", at positions 35 to 154 of the family's 154-position model. The record is from RNAcentral.